RNAcentral lists this ribosomal RNA (470 nucleotides) under uncultured bacterium. RNAcentral describes it as "bacterial SSU rRNA". It matches the Rfam family "Bacterial small subunit ribosomal RNA", at positions 28 to 505 of the family's 1533-position model. The record is from RNAcentral.
GAUGAACGCUGGCGGCGUGCUUAACACAUGCAAGUCGAGCGAAGCACUAAAGCGGAUUUCUUCGGAUUGAAGGUUUAGUGACUGAGCGGCGGACGGGUGAGUAACGCGUGGGUAACCUGCCUCAUACAGGGGGAUAACAGUUGGAAACGGCUGCUAAUACCGCAUAAGCGCACAGUACCGCAUGGUACGGUGUGAAAAACUCCGGUGGUAUGAGAUGGACCCGCGUCUGAUUAGGUAGUUGGUGGGGUAACGGCCUACCAAGCCGACGAUCAGUAGCCGACCUGAGAGGGUGACCGGCCACAUUGGGACUGAGACACGGCCCAAACUCCUACGGGAGGCAGCAGUGGGGAAUAUUGCACAAUGGGGGAAACCCUGAUGCAGCGACGCCGCGUGAGCGAAGAAGUAUUUCGGUAUGUAAAGCUCUAUCAGCAGGGAAGAAAAUGACGGUACCKACUAAGAGCCUGAYUUYG